UGAUACAAAAAUAAAUAAAUCAAACACAAUUGGAACAACACAAAGAAGGUUAACAUGGUCUUUGCACAAGGUGACAUGCAAAUUCAUGAAGUAUUCCAUAUUUAA
This is a small nuclear RNA of Phyllostomus discolor (pale spear-nosed bat), 105 nucleotides long. The record is from RefSeq and is a predicted model, not a curated record. Lineage: Eukaryota; Metazoa; Chordata; Mammalia; Chiroptera; Phyllostomidae.